RNAcentral lists this ribosomal RNA (1496 nucleotides) under uncultured bacterium. Its description in RNAcentral is "bacterial SSU rRNA". It matches the Rfam family "Bacterial small subunit ribosomal RNA". The record is from RNAcentral.
AGAGUUUGAUCCUGGCUCAGGAUGAACGCUAGCGACAGGCCUAACACAUGCAAGUCGAGGGGCAGCGGGGAUGCGGCAACGCAUCCGCCGGCGACCGGCGCACGGGUGAGUAACACGUAUGCGACCUGCCCGACACAGGGGGAUAACCGGUAGAAAUGCCGACUAAUACCCCAUACACCCUCUGGGCUGCAUGGCCGGGAGGGGAAAGCCGCGAGGCGGUGUCGGAUGGGCAUGCGGCGCAUUAGCUAGUCGGCGGGGUAACGGCCCACCGAGGCGACGAUGCGUAGGGGUUCUGAGAGGAAGGUCCCCCACAUUGGUACUGAGACAUGGACCAAACUCCUACGGGAGGCAGCAGUGAGGAAUAUUGGUCAAUGGGCGGGAGCCUGAACCAGCCAAGUCGCGUGAGGGAAGACGGUCCUACGGAUUGUAAACCUCUUUUGCCGGGGAGCAACGGGCGCCACGUGUGGUGCUGUGAGCGUACCCGGAGAAAAAGCAUCGGCUAACUCCGUGCCAGCAGCCGCGGUAAUACGGAGGAUGCGAGCGUUAUCCGGAUUUAUUGGGUUUAAAGGGUGCGUAGGCGGCGCCCCAAGUCAGCGGUAAAAAUGCGGUGCUCAACGCCGUACAGCCGUUGAAACUGGGGGGCUCGAGUGCGCCAGGAGCAUGCGGAAUGCGCAGUGUAGCGGUGAAAUGCAUAGAUAUUGCGCAGAACUCCGAUCGCGAAGGCAGCAUGCUAUGGCGGGACUGACGCUGAGGCACGAAAGCGUGGGGAUCGAACAGGAUUAGAUACCCUGGUAGUCCACGCAGCAAACGAUGAGCACUGACUGUGCGGGGCGAACGGGCCCUGCGCGGUAAAGCGAAAGCGUUAAGUGCUCCACCUGGGGAGUACGCCGGCAACGGUGAAACUCAAAGGAAUUGACGGGGGCCCGCACAAGCGGAGGAACAUGUGGUUUAAUUCGAUGAUACGCGAGGAACCUUACCCGGGCUCAAACGACAGGGGAACCGUCGGGAAACCGGCGGGCCGGCAACGGCCGCUGUCGAGGUGCUGCAUGGUUGUCGUCAGCUCGUGCCGUGAGGUGUCGGCUUAAGUGCCAUAACGAGCGCAACCCCCAUCUCCAGUUGCUAGCGGGUAAAGCCGAGGACUCUGGAGAGACUGCCGGCGCAAGCUGCGAGGAAGGCGGGGAUGACGUCAAAUCAGCACGGCCCUUACGUCCGGGGCGACACACGUGUUACAAUGGCGGGGUACAGCAGGAUGCUUCCGGGCGACCGGUGGCGGACCCUGAAAACCCGUCUCAGUUCGGAUUGGAGUCUGCAACCCGACUCCAUGAAGCUGGAUUCGCUAGUAAUCGCGCAUCAGCCACGGCGCGGUGAAUACGUUCCCGGGCCUUGUACACACCGCCCGUCAAGCCAUGGGAGCCUGGAGCACCUGAAGUCCGCCGCCGAGAGGAGCGGCCAAGGGUGAGACAGGUGACUGGGGCUAAGUCGUAACAAGGUAGCCG